AAGUCGAGCGAACGGACGAGAAGCUUGCUUCUCUGAUGUUAGCGGCGGACGGGUGAGUAACACGUGGAUAACCUACCUAUAAGACUGGGAUAACUUCGGGAAACCGGAGCUAAUACCGGAUAAUAUUUUGAACCGCAUGGUUCAAAAGUGAAAGACGGUCUUGCUGUCACUUAUAGAUGGAUCCGCGCUGCAUUAGCUAGUUGGUAAGGUAACGGCUUACCAAGGCAACGAUGCAUAGCCGACCUGAGAGGGUGAUCGGCCACACUGGAACUGAGACACGGUCCAGACUCCUACGGGAGGCAGCAGUAGGGAAUCUUCCGCAAUGGGCGAAAGCCUGACGGAGCAACGCCGCGUGAGUGAUGAAGGUCUUCGGAUCGUAAAACUCUGUUAUUAGGGAAGAACAUAUGUGUAAGUAACUGUGCACAUCUUGACGGUACCUAAUCAGAAAGCCACGGCUAACUACGUGCCA
RNAcentral lists this ribosomal RNA (469 nucleotides) under Staphylococcus aureus. RNAcentral describes it as "bacterial SSU rRNA". It matches the Rfam family "Bacterial small subunit ribosomal RNA", at positions 59 to 510 of the family's 1533-position model. The record is from RNAcentral. Lineage: Bacteria; Bacillati; Bacillota; Bacilli; Caryophanales; Staphylococcaceae.